This 1400-nucleotide long non-coding RNA is filed under the name Daucus carota (carrot). RNAcentral describes it as "long non-coding RNA (DCAR_LNC006181)". Lineage: Eukaryota; Viridiplantae; Streptophyta; Magnoliopsida; Apiales; Apiaceae. The record is from RNAcentral.
UGGUAACUUUAUUUUCCCACGACAGGAACUUCAGCAUCACCAACCAACAUAGGAAAACAAGUGGCCCAUGGUUCGCCUGAGUUAUACUGGAAUUGCUCUGUUCUUCCAUCAGCUUCGCAUUUUACGUUCUGUGAUUCUUUUACGGGGGCUUGGCUUUCUUCUUCUACAAAGAAAUCCAUCUUGGCAAACAUAAGAUUGGCUACAGCUCUAUCGAUGGCAUUAGUCUUUGAUUCUGUGGCUUCAGUCUCUUGAACGCUGAAACAGAAAAAGAUUAAAUCAGUGAUUAAGAGAAAAAACCUCUUCUUUGAUAGGAAGACGCCAAACUAAGCAGUUAUCAAACAACAUAAAUAUGAAAUUAGGCCAUGUCGAGAAUGUGUUUAUGAGUCGUUAUGCCUCAUACUUCAUGCUACUGAUAUGAAUCAACAAGAUUGGAAUGAUAUAUUGAAGAAGUUCUCUGGGCAGUUUGAUAGGUUUGCCAUUUUGAAGUUUAUAUUUGAUUGAGCUCUUUAUCAGACAAAGAACUUUGCAAUUACAAAAUCCAAUUUUAGGACAGCAAGAAAAUUUUAUACAUAUCAAUACAUACCUAGAUUUUUCAUUAUUAACAGUCUCUACUGUUUUCUUCUCGAUGACAAGAUCUCCAUUUUGGACUGGGGUUGACGUGUUAGUCCUGGAAUUCUCCGCAAGACGAUAUAAAGAAUCUCGAAAGCAAUUUCUCGUCUUCAAGUUCAACUAAAAAUGCCAAGAAAUAGUGCCACUUUGAAUUAGUAAGCUUUUAUACAUCACACUAAUUCAAUAAAUGAUAGAGUAUGUUUGAAGUCAGAUUAUAAUACCUUUGACGUCACCAUUUCAAGCUCCUGAAGCACUGAUUCUUCUAGAGAUGUCUGUUCAUGCAUAUAUACUCUCCCAGUACCAUGCUCAGAUGCAACAGAAUCCUUUAGCACCGGUUCCUUGAUUAAAAGUAUAAUGAUUAGUAACCUGAUAAGCCCAAGUUUUGGAAUUAUGACAGACUUUAGUAUACAUUAGACUCAGAAAAAUACGAAGAUAAAACAUAUUAUUAUAGAAAUGGUACAACUGUGAAAAUCGGGAGUAAAUACAUGUCAGCAGUACUAGAAAACAUAGAGCAUAAAUUAAGGAUAAUCUUUCCAGAAAAAGAUUAGUCUUCCCAGAAUACAGAACACCCAAUUAAGGCUUGAAGACACAGUACAAUGACAAAAGGACCCCUAUAUGUGUAACUAAAAAAAACAUUAACAAGGCAUCCUUUCUAUGAAAUUUUGAUGUAUGCAUAACUAUUUAGUCUACCAUACAAUAGAUUAAUGAUCUUCUAUAGUCAUUAACACCGUAAACCAGAGAACACGCGUCAGGUUUGACUCUUUAAGAGACACAAUAGGGAAAUUCUCACC